UACGGAGGGGGCUAGCGUUGUUCGGAAUUACUGGGCGUAAAGCGCACGUAGGCGGCUUUGUAAGUUAGAGGUGAAAGCCCAGGGCUUAACCCUGGAAUUGCCUUUAAGACUGCAUCGCUAGAAUCGUGGAGAGGUGAGUGGAAUUCCGAGUGUAGAGGUGAAAUUCGUAGAUAUUCGGAAGAACACCAGUGGCGAAGGCGACUCACUGGACACGUAUUGACGCUGAGAUGCGAAAGCGUGGGGAGCAAACAGG
RNAcentral lists this ribosomal RNA (253 nucleotides) under uncultured bacterium. RNAcentral's name for it is "partial 16S ribosomal RNA". It matches the Rfam family "Bacterial small subunit ribosomal RNA", at positions 524 to 776 of the family's 1533-position model. The record is from RNAcentral.